This is a long non-coding RNA of Anas platyrhynchos (mallard), 4305 nucleotides long. RefSeq lists it as uncharacterized. NCBI's taxonomy places the organism in Eukaryota, Metazoa, Chordata, Aves, Anseriformes, Anatidae. The record is from RefSeq and is a predicted model, not a curated record.
UUGGCAGCUGUCUCCUCCGCUGAGCAUGUUGAUGGGAGAAAUGAAGACUCCUUCCAGCAGACAAGUUGGGGAGGGAUGGGUGAGCGAUGCUGCCGUGGUGGCUGAGCACACGCGGCUCAAGAGCAGCAGGAGGGACGUCCUUCUGCCUCCAAAUGGAGGUGGGGAUGGGGACAGCUCUCCUGGGUGCCUCUAAAGGGACCGGGAGGGAAAAGAUCCAGCUUCUGAAACUACUUAAAAAGCUUUCGAUCAAAGAUGUACAGUGGUGCUGACAGAACACAGAAGAGUUUUCGCUGGGGAAAGCCAUCAUUAAUUAUCAGACUGUGUAGAAAUAGAAGGAAACAUGAACAGAAUGGAAGAAGUCAGUGUGAGAAAGCAUCAGCGCCACAGGAGCCUGCUGAGCCUUCUGCCAACACCACUGCUGAGUUGUCUGCAGUUGUCUGGCCCAUCUUGUCUCUUCAAGGCUGCCCUUACCCCUCAGAUUUCCUGCCAUCCCAGCCUGGUGCCUGUCCAUCCAUUCAUCCAUCCAUCCCCACUUUUUUUCUAUAUCUCACUUUCCAAAAUCACGUCACGGUGGGUUUCUGCCAUCCUCCCCAAAAAGGGGAUUUUCAUUUUGAUAAAGGUCUGCACUCAAAGACAAACACCUUGCCACACAAGAAAACAGUGAUACUGCCUUGCCAAGAUGGAAGGAUGGAUUUUGGAGAACCUCACCUCGCUCACACGUCCUGUGCCUGCAUGGGUGCCUGUGGUUUUGCAACCUAGCAGCCGGCAACAGCUGAUAUUUUUAGUGCUGCCAGACACUCGAUACCUGCCAAGGUCACUUGCUGACAAAAGCGAUGAUGAGCCGGCGUGGCAGCAUGUAACAACCCCACCACUUCCCAGCAAUCGGCUUGAACGUGCGUGCUGCCACUUGCCAAGGCGAGACGUGAACAGCGAGGAACGACAGCGGCUGCCGUGCGGGCUGCUGCCUCUGCCCCUCACUCCCUGCUCCGUGCAUGGUGGUGUCACAUCCCAGCAGAUGCUGCCCAAAGAGUGGCAGAAGCUGCAGAACGCUUUGUGCUGAGAGGAAUGGGGUUUGCAGGGAUGCUGCCAGAGCAAUAGCUGCUGUCUCUGUUUGGGACCCAGCAUGAUCCCAUCACUAGUUUCACCGAUGGGGAGACAAAACCUGGACAAGCACACGUGUUGGAAAAAAUGGAAAGCUUGAUUUGUUUUUCUCUAAGCCCUGUGCAAUGAAUGCCACAGAGGGAAAAAAGCAGGAUUGUCAGAGUUGUGAGAGAAAACCAUCUCUCUCUUCUUUUUCCACCAGCCCAGGUGGUUAAAAUGGGUACAGAGGAAGAGAGGGGGGCUUACAUGUAUGUCCUCUGCCCGUGGAUGGCAGCCCGCACUGGUCACAUGCAAGCAGUGGGCUGCACCCACCAGGCUGGCCUGUUGGGUACAGUAAGUCUUGUCUGCUAUUUAUCUCAUUCCCCCCAUGGACAAAUCUCCUGUUGAGCUCUCACUCUGAUGGUUUAGGCAGAUAAAAACCUGUCUGCAAGUUCAGAGCCAGCCCAGAUGAUGCUGGGUGGGAGAUGCGUCCAUGUCUGUGCUCAGCCACUGCAACAAGCAAACUCCAAAUGGAGGUGACAGUUUCAUGGGGAGCAGUGAACUGGUACGACAGCCCUUCUCCACUGCCCAAACAGCACGCUCAUAACAGAUUUUUCACUUCAAGUGCCUUCUACAAGUGUUAAUGAACUAACCCUUAUGAUAGCUCACAGGAGAUGUCUCCAGCAGAGCAGGAUGCAGGCUGAAGAGCCACACACCUCCCUCUGCUUGCGGGCUGGUGUGUGUGGGUGUGUGUCAGUAUGUGCUUGCACACUCAUGUGUUUGUGCACUUGUGCAUGUGGCUCAAAGAGCUGCCAAGAGUUAGUGAAUCACUAUUUGAAACAGUGCAGAUCAGAAGAAGACCACGUUUCUUCCAUCUUUAAAUCAAAUUAGUGGGUAAGAAAGGUAAACCAAGGCAUGGGUUCAUCGCAUUAAGAUCUUAAAGCCUGGAGCGAGCAUCAGAUGAUGAAGGCAGAGCUCGAGUGGCACAUACCAGACAAUUCCAUCCAGUUGCAGAUUAAUGGCUCUGCUAAAUGACUUUAAACCUAAUGACAUGUAACAUGCAAAGAUCAGGCUGCUCAGUAUCGCAAGAAAAAUAGCAAUAAUGAUCGCUUAUACAAAAUAAACCUCCGGAGGAUCAAUGCCACCCAGCACAAAUGUGACUUUGGAUGGGAAGGAAUGGAAGAGCAGAGUGAAUUUGCAUCUUGCCAACACGUAAAAGCCGGACAGGAUGUUUAGGAGGAGGUAAUAGUCCUGGAGUGCAGGGGCAGAGGCUGUCCUGACUGGAGAAAACAAAAGACACGCAUUGAAAAAUUCCUUAUUUCAAGAUUCAGCUACACAUUUGUAUCUGGCCUAUCAUUUUCCUCUAUGUGUAUGAAUGUGAGCAUCUGAAAUUCAGCUGAGCUGCUAACUUCCGCAGGCUAUGGAAAGCAAUUUUCUUAAUAAAAGAGCAUGAGCUUGACUUACUAAGAAACCCUGAUCUUUGACAAUGACUGCCCAACCCCAUCCUUUAGACCCGUGUGGAUGGCAAGGUGGAAGUGUUCAGGCCAAGAACUGGAAGUGCAGCCAGAAGCCUCUGCAAGGACAGACACAGAAGGGGUGAGUCUGGCCAACACUUGGCCGAAUGGACUCCAUCUGCCAGGUUCUUGCACCUAGAACAGCAAGAAACCAGCGGGGUCUUUGCAAACACAGGCGAGAGGUUGAGAUGCACCAGCCAGGGAUGGAAGAAUCUUUCUGCUAGCAUACAGACUACGUACCCAGAAACCAUACAGACAACUGCAGGCAGAACCAGAGCUUGAUGCUUGUGCUCCUUGCUGCUUGCCUCGUGGGAUAAGUGGCUCCGCACUGAGCUGAGCAUCGCGGCAGUGUCCGAGGGCAGCAGCUGCUUGCAGCGCUGGAAAGCCGCUUUGGAAGCCUGAGCUGAUGCUGACUCCUGCAAUCCUGUUUGCUCAUCUCGGUCACUGGGUAUUUAUUGACUGGGAGGAGAGGGGGGGUUAACGAGGAGGGUGAUUGAAAGCUGUAUGUGACCUUCCUGCUCUGACACUGGGUAAGAUUGUAUUGACUGUGAUGCAGGAGGGACCAGUUCCUCCCUUGUCCUUGGGGGUGCUGGGCAGAGACAAGGUUUGCAAAGCUUCCCUCCCUUUCUUGGACCCAUUCUCUCACUGCAAGGGCAGGAUUUGUCCUUCAGCACAGGAAAAAGCAACAACUUGUUUGAAUAAUUGGUUUCAAGGCUCUUUCAUAAUGGUGCAUAAUUUACAACAGGAAAGAAAAGAUUCAGUUUAACCCUUUUUUUUUUUUUAACCUUUUCUUUAGAAAAUUUGAGGAAAAAAAGUAAUUACAGACCCUGGGGAAAGUUUUCCUUCCAGCUUGAGCAUUUUCAGAAGUGAUCAUAAAAAUAACGGUAAUUUCUAAGUAGGAAAGCUUCAAAUUGGAAAAUGUAAAAGUUUAAUUUUAGAACUUUCCGAGGGGACACAUCUAACCCUUUCCAAGCACAAUCAGCAAGCGCAAGCUGCUUAGCAGAGGAGGGAUAAGUUUCCUUGAGAUUUCAAUCAGGCACUUUGUUUUUCAGUGAAAAAAGGGUCUUACACCAUCAAAUCAUCACAGAACUAUCUGUCAUCUCCCCGAGCACGCACAGCUGCUGUGGACGUGCCCAUGGUACAGGGACUCUACCACAUGUCAAGAGCUGUGUCUGAACUCCUUAUGGGUGAUGGAGACGAAGCUUGCCUCCUCCAGCUCCACCCUGUAAGCUGCCACCGACCCUGGGUCCCUGUGGGAUGGGAGGGCGUUUUGUGAUGAGCUGUGAAGGGCAGAGGUUGGGCAGAGAGCAGGGACAGGCAGCUUUUCUGGGGCACCUUCCUCCUCCUUAAUGCAAUGUAGAACACAGUGUCAUUAUUUUCAUUUAAUAAAGUGGAACAAACUUAAGAUGCUUAAACGUUGAUUAAAGGCUUUGAUCUCCAAAAGUGCGAUUAGUGUCCUUCUGUCGAAGAAAGUCACUUUGAGAAAUGCGCGUGCUGAUUCCGCAUAAUCCCCCCAUUAAUUCUGUGUCAGAUACUGUGUUUACUGGAAGCACACGACAAGCCUUUUCUAUUUCCUUUCCCCCCCUCAAACAGUUCUAGAGCCACCAUUUUCAUGCAGUUUAUCCCAGCCAUGCUCUUCCUCCCCUUGUCCCCUUGUACGGAGAUGGAAGGAAGGAGGGGACAGUCGGUGGCUGUGGCUCAGUGCUGCAGA